AGUGAACGCUGGCGGUAGGCCUAACACAUGCAAGUCGAACGGCAGCACAGUAAGAGCUUGCUCUUACGGGUGGCGAGUGGCGGACGGGUGAGGAAUACAUCGGAUUCUACUUUUUCGUGGGGGAUAACGUAGGGAAACUUACGCUAAUACCGCAUACGACCUACGGGUGAAAGCAGGGGAUCUUCGGACCUUGCGCGAUUGAAUGAGCCGAUGUCGGAUUAGCUAGUUGGCGGGGUAAAGGCCCACCAAGGCGACGAUCCGUAGCUGGUCUGAGAGGAUGAUCAGCCACACUGGAACUGAGACACGGUCCAGACUCCUACGGGAGGCAGCAGUGGGGAAUAUUGGACGAUGGGCGAAAGCCUGAUCCAGCCAUACCGCGUGGGUGAAGAAGGCCUUCGGGUUGGAAAGCCCUUUUGUUGGGAAAGAAAAGCAGCAGGUUAAUACCCCGCUGUUCUGACGGUACCCAAAGAAUAAGCACCGGCUAACUUCGUG
Molecule: ribosomal RNA, 492 nt
Filed under: uncultured bacterium
Lineage: Bacteria
Description: partial 16S ribosomal RNA
Rfam family: Bacterial small subunit ribosomal RNA
Source: RNAcentral